UACGUAGGUGGCAAGCGUUAUCCGGAAUUAUUGGGCGUAAAGAGCGCGCAGGUGGUUGAUUAAGUCUGAUGUGAAAGCCCACGGCUUAACCGUGGAGGGUCAUUGGAAACUGGUCGACUUGAGUGCAGAAGAGGGAAGUGGAAUUCCAUGUGUAGCGGUGAAAUGCGUAGAGAUAUGGAGGAACACCAGUGGCGAAGGCGGCUUCCUGGUCUGUAACUGACACUGAGGCGCGAAAGCGUGGGGAGCAAACAGG
RNAcentral lists this ribosomal RNA (253 nucleotides) under uncultured bacterium. RNAcentral's name for it is "partial 16S ribosomal RNA". It matches the Rfam family "Bacterial small subunit ribosomal RNA", at positions 524 to 776 of the family's 1533-position model. The record is from RNAcentral.